UGCAUUUGUGUAUGUUUUUUGUUUCACUUGUAGACAAAGACUGGCACAGAGGUACAAAAAAUAAAUUCCCUUUUGUAACCCAGAACUCAUUAAUCCAUAUGAGUUUUGAUGCAUACAAGCAGGAAUAGG
Lepus europaeus (European hare) is the source of this 129-nucleotide small nucleolar RNA. RefSeq annotates it as small nucleolar RNA SNORA40. NCBI's taxonomy places the organism in Eukaryota, Metazoa, Chordata, Mammalia, Lagomorpha, Leporidae. The transcript has a single exon. The record is from RefSeq and is a predicted model, not a curated record.